RNAcentral lists this small RNA (17 nucleotides) under Arabidopsis thaliana (thale cress). RNAcentral's name for it is "ATSL069050". Lineage: Eukaryota; Viridiplantae; Streptophyta; Magnoliopsida; Brassicales; Brassicaceae. The record is from RNAcentral.
UCUACUCUUCCUCUUCC